Molecule: ribosomal RNA, 223 nt
Filed under: Bacteroides fragilis
Lineage: Bacteria; Pseudomonadati; Bacteroidota; Bacteroidia; Bacteroidales; Bacteroidaceae
Description: partial 23S ribosomal RNA
Rfam family: Bacterial large subunit ribosomal RNA
Source: RNAcentral
AGAGUGAUGUGGAGACGGAGGAGUGACAACGCCGCGGACUGACGGAAUAGUCCGUUAAAGGGUGUAGAUGUUGAUUAUCCCAGGCAAAUCCGGGAUAAGAGUCGAACCUGAUAGUAUACCAAUUUCCCCGGAAAACGGUAAUAGUGCGUGUAAACAUACUCCCAAGAAAAUCCGCUAAACUUAAUCUUACAGGUACCCGUACCGUAAACGGACACACGUAGUC